This 588-nucleotide ribosomal RNA is filed under the name uncultured Pseudomonadota bacterium. Its description in RNAcentral is "bacterial SSU rRNA". It matches the Rfam family "Bacterial small subunit ribosomal RNA", at positions 912 to 1504 of the family's 1533-position model. The record is from RNAcentral. Lineage: Bacteria; Pseudomonadati; Pseudomonadota.
GACGGGGACCCGCACAAGCGGUGGAUGAUGUGGUUUAAUUCGAUGCAACGCGAAAAACCUUACCCACCUUUGACAUGUACGGAAGUUGCCAGAGAUGGCUUCGUGCUCGCAAGAGAACCGUAACACAGGUGCUGCAUGGCUGUCGUCAGCUCGUGUCGUGAGAUGUUGGGUUAAGUCCCGCAACGAGCGCAACCCUUGCCAUUAGUUGCUACGAAAGGGCACUCUAAUGGGACUGCCGGUGACAAACCGGAGGAAGGUGGGGAUGACGUCAAGUCCUCAUGGCCCUUAUAGGUGGGGCUACACACGUCAUACAAUGGCUGGUACAAAGGGUUGCCAACCCGCGAGGGGGAGCCAAUCCCACAAAGCCAGUCGUAGUCCGGAUUGCAGUCUGCAACUCGACUGCAUGAAGUCGGAAUCGCUAGUAAUCGUGGAUCAGCAUGUCACGGUGAAUACGUUCCCGGGUCUUGUACACACCGCCCGUCACACCAUGGGAGCGGGUUCCGCCAGAAGUGGUUAGCCUAACCGUAAGGAGGGCGAUCACCACGGCGGGGUUCGUGACUGGGGUGAAGUCGUAACAAGGUAGCCGUA